Long non-coding RNA from Pogoniulus pusillus (Red-fronted tinkerbird), 1257 nucleotides. RefSeq lists it as uncharacterized. Lineage: Eukaryota; Metazoa; Chordata; Aves; Piciformes; Lybiidae. The transcript is spliced from 3 exons. The record is from RefSeq and is a predicted model, not a curated record.
GCAACGGUGGAAGCACCUCUGUGAUGUUUAAGAAGUGGGGGGGGAAAAAGAAUCAGGAAAAGCUGAGAGGAUGGUGCUGUGAGAGAAGCAAUCGUGGACACUGAAGGCAGAGAAGAAGGAGGGGAUAGAGGUGCAUUGGCAGAGAUUCCCCUGCAGCCUCUGGUGAAGACCACAGUAAGGCAGGCUGUCCGCUUGCAGUCUAUGAGGGUUAGUGGUGGAGCUCAUGGACAUUAAUAAUAGAGCCAAUAUCCACUUACAGCCCAUGGAGGUUAGUAGCAUUGCAGUGGCAGGGGAGUGAAAGACACACGAGUGGUGAACAAUAAUAAUGAAGGCAGAGAACUCCACCACCUCCCUGAGCAGCCUGUUCCAAUUGCUGACCACUCUUGCAGCAAAGAAAUUGUUCCAAAUAUCCAACCUGGUACAGUUUUAGGCCAUUUCCUCUCAUUCUGUCACCUGAUGCUUGGAAAAAAAAGACCAGCACCCUCCUAACUUCAGUCUCCUUUCAAGGAGUUGUAGAGAGCAAGGACAUUACCCCUCAGCCUCCUCUUCUCCAUACUAAAUGAUCCCAGUUCCCUCAGCUGCUCCUCAUAAGACAUCAGGAGAAAGGCUUCUACUCUUCCUUCCCCAGCUUUGUUAUUUGUGCCACAUUCACAUCUAACCUUCAGGACUCAGCAGCACCUUCAGGAGUACUCCGUGCUGAUGCCCUUUUGCUUACUCAACUGUCAUAAGCAGUCAAUCCAUGCAAAGAAAGAGCUCUGCAGAGGAAUCUAGGCCAAGAUGACGACAACAACAACAACAACAAAAAAGAGCAACUUCCUCACUUUUGCCUUCCCUAUAACAAACCUACCAAAAUGCUGCUUGUUUAUUACACCUUUAGAAACCAAAAUGCUUCACUCUGUGGAUUUACUCUGGAAAGAAGAUGAAAGAUGUGCAUGUGGCAGGUUUUACCACACUGAUGCGUGCAGCAUUGUGCAGUGCUCAGAUGUCAUGUCCUAAGCAUAAUGUAAGGAGUAAAAUGGGUACUGAACUCUCCUGAAAGUCUGACUUGAAGUCUAUAUUUAGGCAUCUAAGUGACCUGCUUUCAUUCAAAGACGCUGACUGUUCAGCUGCUUCCAUUGACGGCAGCAGAAACGCAAAGGGUUUUUGGUGCUGUUGAAUCUAAGCACAAAAAUUACAGUUGAGUCUGCCUGUGACUCCUAAGUAACUCCUUGCUAAAACAACCAAAAAAAAAAAUAAUAAAAAAGAAAGGAUGACAGA